UUUACCGUCUUCACAGUGCACACUUCUGUGGCUGGUGGCCUACCAAACGCUGAGGGGCACAAGCAUGGUGUAGCAGACUCUCUAUUUGGUGUGUUCAUCUUAUCUUCAUCUUAAACUAAUCUUCUCUGAGGAUCAAACCAAACUAAGAUGGCUGACACGGACACACCGGAGGGUGUCCAGGACCUGGAAUCUCCGGAGGAGGAGCUGGAUGACGAGCAGACAGCCUUGCUACACUUUGGAAAAUACUGUGAAGCCCGGCGUGCGCUUCCUUGGGACCAGUGGACCUUCAGAGAAAAGGCAAACUAUUAUAUGGACCGCAUCUUCCUUGGGGUCUUGAUCAUUUUUUUGCUCAUGUUAGUGGGAGAAUGUGCCUAUAAAGUGUGGUACGUCACAAACGUGAAUAAGAUUGCACAGUUGGUGUCAGACUCGGUGGUCUCUCUGUACGACUGGCUCUUCACCCAGCAGAAACAGGAGGAGCUGUUGGAAUUGUAGGUUGUUAAUAGAGCUUUUUUUUUUUUAGUGUUUUCUACAAUGUUUUAGGCACAUGUGGUGUUACAAAUGCUCAGUAAGGAUUUAAGUCAUAGCUCUUCUAUUGUAACUACAAAAACAGCAAUUUAUUACUGAUUUCUGAACGACAUUUUUUGUGGUGAAUUAAUGGAAAUAAAUAAUGUAUGCAAUUAACCGAA
Molecule: long non-coding RNA, 686 nt
Organism: Epinephelus lanceolatus (giant grouper)
Lineage: Eukaryota; Metazoa; Chordata; Actinopteri; Perciformes; Serranidae
Source: RefSeq, a predicted model, not a curated record